This 61-nucleotide transfer RNA is filed under the name Tenacibaculum skagerrakense. RNAcentral describes it as "tRNA-Phe". It matches the Rfam family "tRNA", at positions 1 to 62 of the family's 71-position model. Rfam says of the family: Transfer RNA (tRNA) molecules are approximately 80 nucleotides in length. Their secondary structure includes four short double-helical elements and three loops (D, anti-codon, and T loops). Lineage: Bacteria; Pseudomonadati; Bacteroidota; Flavobacteriia; Flavobacteriales; Flavobacteriaceae. The record is from RNAcentral.
GGAACAAUAGCAAAGUUGGUCAAUGCGUCGGUUUGAAGCACCGAAGAUAUAGGUUCUCCCG